CGUCCUCAAAAUCUCCAAUAGUACAAGAGAGAUAAUCACACCAACUUUAAAGUCAUCUCAUUGAGAGUAUCUAGACAAAGGAACAUGGCAAGAUAACACUCGUCUGAAGCCAGUGAUGAUUCUGGCUACCGCCGUUAAGAUGUUUAAUUCAAAGAUUAUAUGUAUAUGCCAGGAGCUCCUCAGGAGCCAAAUGUAACAGGAAGCCAGAAGAGACAGGGUCCAAUGACAGAGUCCGUGUUGAUCUCCUCAGGCAGAAGGCAGGGUGCAGAGUGAGCCCAGAGAAACAGAUGGAAGACAGGCCACAUGAAGACCUAUGCUGGAAAGAUCCAACUCAUGCUAAGGAGACCUACCUUCUGAUUGCCCUGGUGGGUCAUUAGCAGAGAAAUGAAUUCACAUGAAGCAAUUCUAUAAAGGAGAGCAGUGGAGGUGAAAAUAUCACAGAAAAGGAGAGCAAUUUGACUAGUAAACUCAUCGAGUUGAGACAAAUGUGAAAACUCAUUACAACCUGAAUUUCUCACCCAGCUCAGUUUCUCCUCUCUUUUAAACUUUCUAAUAGAAAAAGUUGAGUUCCCAUUAUUGCCACCUCCACUGUUUGCCCUCACUU
Molecule: long non-coding RNA, 604 nt
Organism: Fukomys damarensis (Damara mole-rat)
Lineage: Eukaryota; Metazoa; Chordata; Mammalia; Rodentia; Bathyergidae
Exons: 4
Source: RefSeq, a predicted model, not a curated record